AUCCGGAUUUACUAGGUUUAAAGGGUCUGUAGGCUGUAUAUUAAGUCAGUGGUGAAAUGUCUGAGCUUAACUGAGGACUUGCCAUUGAAACUGGUAUACUUGAGUAUGGUUGCUGUCGGCGGAAUGUAUUAUGUAGCGGUGAAAUGCAUAGAUAUGAUACAGAACACCAAUUGCGAAAGCAGCUGACAAAACCAGCACUGACGCUGAUAGACGAAAGCGUGGGGAGCGAACAGGAUUAGAUACCCUGGUAGUCCACGCAGUAAACUAUGGGCACUAGUUUUUGGCGAUAGACAGUCAGAGACAAAGCGAAAGCGUUAAGUGCCCCACCUGGGGAUUACGUUCGCAAGAAUGAAACUCAAAGGAAUUGACGGGGGCCCGCACAAGCGGAGGAACAUGUGGUUUAAUUCGAUGAUACGCGAGGAACCUUACCUGGGCUUAAAUGCUAGGCGUCUUCGGGCGUAGUCUGUAGAAAUACAGCUUAAACUUGCAAGGUGCUGCAUGGUUGUCGUCAGCUCGUGCCGUGAGGUGUCGGGUUAAGUCCCAUAACGAGCGCAACCCACAUUCUUAGUUGCCAUCAAAUAAGUUGGGCACUCUAGGAAAACUGCCAUCGUAAGAUGUGAGGAAGGUGUGGAUGACGUCAAAUCAGCACGGCCCUUAUGUCCAGGGCUACACACGUGUUACAAUGGUCGGUACAAAAGGCAGCGACCUGGUAACAGAGAGCUAAUCUUAAAAACCGGCCUCAGUUCGGAUUGGAGUCUGCAAUUCGACUCCAUGAAGUCGGAUUCGCUAGUAACCGCGUAUCAGCAAUGACGCGGUGAAUACGUUCCCGGGCCUUGUACACACCGCCCGUCAAGCCAUGGAAGCUGGGUGCACACUGAAGUCCGUGACCGUUCAGGAGCGGCCGACGGUGAAACUAGUGACUGGGGCU
This 928-nucleotide ribosomal RNA is filed under the name uncultured organism. RNAcentral describes it as "bacterial SSU rRNA". It matches the Rfam family "Bacterial small subunit ribosomal RNA", at positions 543 to 1482 of the family's 1533-position model. The record is from RNAcentral.